AAACUUGAGAGUUUGAUCAUGGCUCAGAACGUACGCUGGCGGCACGCCUAACACAUGCAAGUCGAACGAAGUAGCAAUACUUAGUGGCAGACGGGUGAGUAACAUGUAGGUAUCUGCCCUUUGGCCUGGAAUAACACGAGGAAACUUGUGCUAAUACUGGAUAAGUCUUUACGGAGAAAGCUUUAUGCACCAUUGGAUGAGCCUGCACUUGAUUAGUUUGUUGGUGGGGUAAUGGCCUACCAAGACUGUGAUCAAUAGCUGAUUUGAGAGGAUGAUCAGCCACAUUGGGACUGAGACACGGCCCAAACUCCUACGGGAGGCAGCAGUGGGGAAUCUUGCACAAUGGAGGAAACUCUGAUGCAGCGAUGCCGCGUGAGUGAAGAAGGCCUUUGGGUUGUAAAGCUCUUUCGUCGGGGAAGAAAAUGACUGUACCCGAAUAAGAAGGUCCGGCUAACUUCGUGCCAGCAGCCGCGGUAAUACGAAGGGACCUAGCGUAGUUCGGAAUUACUGGGCUUAAAGAGUUCGUAGGUGGUUGAAAAAGUUGGUGGUGAAAUCCCAGAGCUUAACUCUGGAACUGCCAUCAAAACUUUUCAGCUAGAGUAUGAUAGAGGAAAGCAGAAUUUCUAGUGUAGAGGUGAAAUUCGUAGAUAUUAGAAAGAAUACCAAUUGCGAAGGCAGCUUUCUGGAUCAUUACUGACACUGAGGAACGAAAGCAUGGGUAGCGAAGAGGAUUAGAUACCCUCGUAGUCCAUGCCGUAAACGAUGUGUGUUAGACGUUGGAAAUUUAUUUUCAGUGUCGCAGCGAAAGCGAUAAACACACCGCCUGGGGAGUACGACCGCAAGGUUAAAACUCAAAUGAAUUGACGGGGACCCGCACAAGUAGUGGAGCAUGUGGUUUAAUUCGAAGAUACGCGCAGAACCUUACCAACACUUGACAUGUUCGUCGCGACUCUAAGAGAUUAGAGUUUUCGGUUCGGCCGGACGAAACACAGGUGCUGCAUGGCUGUCGUCAGCUCGUGUCGUGAGAUGUUGGGUUAAGUCCCGCAACGAGCGCAACCCUCACUUUUAGUUGCCAUCAUUAAGUUGGGCACUCUGAAAGAACUGCCAGUGAUAAGCUGGAGGAAGGUGGGGAUGACGUCAAGUCCUCAUGGCCCUUACGUGUUGGGCUACACACGUGCUACAAUGGUAUCUACAACAGGAAGCAAGACUGCGAGGUCAAGCAAAUCCUUAAAAGAUACCUCAGUUCGGAUUGCACUCUGCAACUCGAGUGCAUGAAGCUGGAAUUACUAGUAAUCGUGGAUCAGCGUGCCACGGUGAAUGCGUUCCCGGGUCUUGUACACACCGCCCGUCACACCAUGGGAGUUGGUUCUACCUUAAGGCAAGGUUUAAAACCCUUGACCACGGUAUAGUCAGCGACUGGGGUGAAGUCGUAACAAGGUAGCCGUAGGGGAACCUGCGGCUGGAUUACCUCCUUU
This 1475-nucleotide ribosomal RNA is filed under the name Candidatus Pelagibacter sp. RNAcentral's name for it is "bacterial SSU rRNA". It matches the Rfam family "Bacterial small subunit ribosomal RNA". Lineage: Bacteria; Pseudomonadati; Pseudomonadota; Alphaproteobacteria; Candidatus Pelagibacterales; Candidatus Pelagibacteraceae. The record is from RNAcentral.